This 253-nucleotide ribosomal RNA is filed under the name uncultured bacterium. RNAcentral's name for it is "partial 16S ribosomal RNA". It matches the Rfam family "Bacterial small subunit ribosomal RNA", at positions 524 to 776 of the family's 1533-position model. The record is from RNAcentral.
UACGGAGGGGGUUAGCGUUGUUCGGAAUGACUGGGCGUAAAGCGCGCGUAGGCGGAUCGGAAAGUUGGGGGUGAAAUCCCGGGGCUCAACCUCGGAAUGGCCUUCAAGACUGCUGGUCUUGAGUUCGAGAGAGGUGAGUGGAAUUCCGAGUGUAGAGGUGAAAUUCGUAGAUAUUCGGAGGAACACCAGUGGCGAAGGCGGCUCACUGGCUCGACACUGACGCUGAGGUGCGAAAGCGUGGGGAGCAAACAGG